GGUGGCUCAGUGGUAGAGCACAUGCAUGCAUGAGGCCCUGGGUUCGAUUCCUCAGCACCA
This 60-nucleotide transfer RNA is filed under the name Dipodomys ordii (Ord's kangaroo rat). The record is from Rfam by way of RNAcentral. Lineage: Eukaryota; Metazoa; Chordata; Mammalia; Rodentia; Heteromyidae.